RNAcentral lists this ribosomal RNA (254 nucleotides) under uncultured bacterium. RNAcentral describes it as "partial 16S ribosomal RNA". It matches the Rfam family "Bacterial small subunit ribosomal RNA", at positions 524 to 776 of the family's 1533-position model. The record is from RNAcentral.
UACGGGGGGAGCAAGCGUUGUUCGGAUUUACUGGGCGUAAAGGGCGCGUAGGCGGCCAGCACAAGUCAGUUGUGAAAUCUCCGAGCUUAACUCGGAAAGGUCAACUGAUACUGUGCGGCUAGAGUGCGGAAGGGGCAACUGGAAUUCUCGGUGUAGCGGUGAAAUGCGCAGAUAUCAGGAGGAACACCGGUGGCGAAGGCGGAUCUCUGGGCCUUACCUGACGCUGAGGCGCGAAAGCUAGGGGAGCGAACAGG